AGCUUUGCACAGUGGCAAUAUCAUAGCCAAUGAGGUUAACCCAAGGUGCAAUUAUUGCUAAUUAAAAAAUGGAAAAUUGAAUCCUG
This 86-nucleotide small nuclear RNA is filed under the name Echinops telfairi (small Madagascar hedgehog). Its description in RNAcentral is "U4 spliceosomal RNA (ENSETEG00000025999.1)". The stretch from base 1 to 74 matches the Rfam family "U4 spliceosomal RNA". From Rfam's summary of the family: U4 small nuclear RNA (U4 snRNA) is a component of the major U2-dependent spliceosome. The structure of U4 snRNA from yeast and human has been reported. The record is from RNAcentral. Lineage: Eukaryota; Metazoa; Chordata; Mammalia; Afrosoricida; Tenrecidae.